This is a long non-coding RNA of Galendromus occidentalis (western predatory mite), 588 nucleotides long. RefSeq lists it as uncharacterized. The transcript has 2 exons. The record is from RefSeq and is a predicted model, not a curated record. NCBI's taxonomy places the organism in Eukaryota, Metazoa, Arthropoda, Arachnida, Mesostigmata, Phytoseiidae.
CGGCUCAUUAUACGCCUCGCGAAUCUGACCAAACUGUCUCGGAUCCAUACAUUCAUACUCGAAUCAGAUCACGGGAAAAAAUCCCGGCAACCAUCAUGCAACCAACGUUUCUCGUCGCCGCCGUAGUCGCUUCCGUCAUCGUAUACGCCAGCGCGGUACCCUCAUGCGAUCCUGCGGCUCUCGGUGCUUCUCUAACGAGCGUGCUCCCAUUGGCUUCUCGACCGGCUUGUCUAUGCGUAUCAAUUCUAGGCUGUGAGAGAGGCCAGCUCGAAGCAACCCCGGAUUCCUUCAAAUAUCGAGGUCCUCGCCUCGGUGUUUGGUCUGGCAUUCGGGAAGAGGAUCACCUCAAUAUCCGAGAGCCCAUCGCGGAAGCCGGAAGAGAUCUUCUGCCUAUCAGAGAAGGGAACCAGAUUGUUCUCGUAGUGUGCAACAAUGGGGUGUUCGAAAGGGUCUUCGUCGACUUCACCGAGGCACCGACUGCCGAAGAGACCAGGGCUCUCAGAGAGAAAUACGGUAUUGACAUAGGCCUCAACAUCGUACAAUGUAGAUUCUGAUGAGCAUUUAAUAAAAAAAAUGUCCGCAUCGGAA